UACGGAGGGUGCAAACGUUGCUCGGAAUUACUGGGCGUAAAGCGCGUGUAGGCGGCUUAGCAAGUCUUGUGUGAAAGCCCUGGGCCUAACCCAGGAAGUGCACAGGAAACUGCUAAGCUAGAGUGCGAGAGAAGAGGGCGGAAUUCCCGGUGUAGAGGUGAAAUUCGUAGAUAUCGGGAGGAACACCAGAAGCGAAAGCGGCUCUCUGGACCGACACUGACGCUGAGACGCGAAAGCGUGGGGAGCAAACAGG
Molecule: unclassified non-coding RNA, 253 nt
Filed under: uncultured Myxococcales bacterium
Lineage: Bacteria; Pseudomonadati; Myxococcota; Myxococcia; Myxococcales
Description: contains 16S-23S intergenic spacer region
Rfam family: Bacterial small subunit ribosomal RNA
Source: RNAcentral